This 406-nucleotide ribosomal RNA is filed under the name uncultured bacterium. RNAcentral describes it as "partial 16S ribosomal RNA". It matches the Rfam family "Bacterial small subunit ribosomal RNA", at positions 29 to 526 of the family's 1533-position model. The record is from RNAcentral.
AUUGAACGCUGGCGGCAGGCCUAACACAUGCAAGUCGCACGAGUGGCGGACGGGUGAGUAAUGUCUGGGAAACUGCCCGAUGGAGGGGGAUAACUACUGGAAACGGUAGCUAAUACCGCAUACCAUCGGAUGUGCCCAGAUGGGAUUAGCUUGUUGGUGGGGUAACGGCUCACCAAGGCGACGAUCCCUAGCUGGUCUGAGCGGAUGACCAAGCAACCCUGAACUGAGAGACGGUCCAGGAUCCCACGGGAGGCAGCCGGGGGGAAUAUUGGACGAAGGGCGCCAGGCUUAUGGAGCCAUGCCGGGUGGUUGAAGAAGGCCUUCGGGGUGUAAAGUACUUUCAGCGGGGAGGCGUUACCCGCAAGAGAAGCGCCGGCUAACUCCGUGCCAGCAGCCGCGGUAAUAC